This 253-nucleotide ribosomal RNA is filed under the name uncultured bacterium. RNAcentral describes it as "partial 16S ribosomal RNA". It matches the Rfam family "Bacterial small subunit ribosomal RNA", at positions 524 to 776 of the family's 1533-position model. The record is from RNAcentral.
UACGUAGGGGGCUAGCGUUGUCCGGAUUUAUUGGGCGUAAAGAGCGUGUAGGCGGCCAGGUAGGUCUGCUGUGAAAACUCGAGGCUCAACCUCGAGAUGUCGGCGGAAACCAUCUGGCUAGAGUCCGGAAGAGGAGAGUGGAAUUCCUGGUGUAGCGGUGAAAUGCGCAGAUAUCAGGAAGAACACCCGUGGCGAAGGCGGCUCUCUGGGACGGUACUGACGCUGAGGAGCGAAAGCGUGGGGAGCGAACAGG